Molecule: ribosomal RNA, 514 nt
Filed under: uncultured bacterium
Lineage: Bacteria
Description: bacterial SSU rRNA
Rfam family: Bacterial small subunit ribosomal RNA
Source: RNAcentral
AGGACGACGCUGGCGGCGUGCCUAACACAUGCAAGUCGAACGGGGAUUUGUUUCGGCAGAAUCCUAGUGGCGAACGGGUGAGUAACGCGUAGGCAACCUGCCCUCCGGCCGGGGGACAACACUCCGAAAGGGGUGCUAAUACCGGAUACGAAGUCUGUGCCGCAUGGUACGGAUUUGAAAGAUGGCCUCUGUUUACAAGCUAUCGCCGGGGGAUGGGCCUGCGUCCGAUUAGCUGGUUGGUGGGGUAACGGCCUACCAAGGCGACGAUCGGUAGCCGGUCUGAGAGGAUGAACGGCCACAUUGGGACUGAGACACGGCCCAGACUCCUACGGGAGGCAGCAGUGGGGAAUCUUCCGCAAUGGGCGCAAGCCUGACGGAGCAACGCCGCGUGAGUGAGGAAGUUCUUCGGAACGUAAAGCUCUGUUGUUCCUGACGAACCUCCCCUCUAUCAACAACGGAGGGGACUGACGGUAGGGAACGAGGAAGCCACGGCUAACUACGUGCCAGCCGCGGC